This 476-nucleotide ribosomal RNA is filed under the name Phyllopezus pollicaris. Its description in RNAcentral is "partial 16S ribosomal RNA". It matches the Rfam family "Bacterial large subunit ribosomal RNA", at positions 1961 to 2606 of the family's 2925-position model. Lineage: Eukaryota; Metazoa; Chordata; Lepidosauria; Squamata; Phyllodactylidae. The record is from RNAcentral.
GUAAUCACUUGUCCUCUAAAUAGGGACCAGUAUGAACGGCUAAAUGAGGGCCUAACUGUCUCCUAUGGCCAAUCAAUGAAACUGAUCUUCCAGUAAAAAAGCUGGAAUAAGCCCACAAGACGAGAAGACCCUGUGGAGCUUUAAACUAAUAUACUACCACAUCAACCCUUAUACCAAAAUGGUUCAAUAGUAAAAAAUAGUGUAAAUUUUAAGUUGGGGCAACUACGGAACAAAAAAAACCUUCCAUGCAGCAGGAUAUAUUAUCCAUUAAAGGAUUACAAACCAAAAAUACUUUAUGCAAACGACCCAGUAACACUGAACAGCGAACCAAGUUACCCCAGGGAUAACAGCGCCAUCCUCUUCUAGAGUUCCCAUCGCCAAGAGGGUUUACGACCUCGAUGUUGGAUCAGGGCCCCCAGGCGGUGCAGCCGCUGCCAACGGUUCGUUUGUUCAACGAUUAAUGCCCUACGUGAUCU